This 459-nucleotide ribosomal RNA is filed under the name uncultured bacterium. RNAcentral describes it as "partial 16S ribosomal RNA". It matches the Rfam family "Bacterial small subunit ribosomal RNA", at positions 338 to 795 of the family's 1533-position model. The record is from RNAcentral.
CCUACGGGCGGCAGCAGUGAGGAAUAUUGGUCAAUGGGCGGGAGCCUGAACCAGCCAAGUCGCGUGAAGGAAGAAUGUACUUAGUGUUGUAAACUUCUUUUGUCUGGGAACAAAGGCGGAGACGCGUCUCCUGUUGAGUGUACCCUAAGAAUAAGCAUCGGCUAACUCCGUGCCAGCAGCCGCGGUAAUACGGAGGAUCCGAGCGUUAUCCGGAUUUAUUGGGUUUAAAGGGUGCGGAGGCGGGAGAUCAAGUCAGCGGUAAAAUGUUGGGGCUCAACCCCGGACGGCCGUUGAAACUGGUUUUCUAGAGUUGGAGAGAGGUAUGCGGAAUUCGUGGUGUAGCGGUGAAAUGCAUAGAUAUCACGAAGAACUCCGAUUGCGAAGGCAGCAUACCGGAUUCAUACUGACGCUGAGGCACGAAAGCGUGGGGAUCGAACAGGAUUAGAUACCCGGGUAGUC